UAUACAGCGAAACUGCGAAUGGCUCAUUAUAUAAGUUAUCGUUUAUUUGAUAGUGCCUUACUACUUGGAUAACCGUGGUAAUUCUAGAGCUAAUACAUGCUAAAAACCCCGACUUCGGAAGGGGUGUAUUUAUUAGAUAUAAAACCAAUGCCCUUCGGGGCUCUUUGGUGAUUCAUGAUAACUAUACGAAUCGCACGGCCUUGCGCCGGCGAUGGUUCAUUCAAAUUUCUUCCCUAUCAACUUUCGAUGUUUGGGUAUUGGCCAAACAUGGUUGCAACGGGUAACGGAGGGUUAGGGCUCGACCCCGGAGAAGGAGCCUGAGAAACGGCUACUACAUCCAAGGAAGGCAGCAGGCGCGCAAAUUACCCAAUCCCGACUCGGGGAGGUAGUGACAAUAAAUACUGAUACAGGGCCCUUUCGGGCCUUGUAAUUGGAAUGAAUACAAUUUAAAUCCCUUAACGAGGAACAAUUGGAGGGCAAGUCUGGUGCCAGCAGCCGCGGUAAUUCCAGCUCCAAUAGCGUAUAU
Molecule: ribosomal RNA, 526 nt
Filed under: uncultured eukaryote
Lineage: Eukaryota
Description: SSU rRNA
Rfam family: Eukaryotic small subunit ribosomal RNA
Source: RNAcentral